Molecule: ribosomal RNA, 253 nt
Filed under: uncultured bacterium
Lineage: Bacteria
Description: partial 16S ribosomal RNA
Rfam family: Bacterial small subunit ribosomal RNA
Source: RNAcentral
UACGGAGGGUGCAAGCGUUAUCCGGAUUCACUGGGUUUAAAGGGUGCGUAGGCGGGCAGGUAAGUCAGUGGUGAAAUCUCCGAGCUUAACAUGGAAACUGCCAUUGAUACUACUGAUCUUGAAUUUUCAGGAGGUAAGCGGAAUAUGUCAUGUAGCGGUGAAAUGCUUAGAUAUGACAUAGAACACCAAUUGCGAAGGCAGCUUACUACAGGAAUAUUGACACUGAUGCACGAAAGCGUGGGGAUCAAACAGG